CUGGUAGUCCACGCUGUAAACGAUGAGUACUAAGUGUCGGGGUAACUCGGUACUGAAGUUAACACAUUAAGUACUCCGCCUGAGUAGUACGUACGCAAGUAUGAAACUUAAAGGAAUUGACGGGACUCCGCACAAGCGGUGGAUCAUGUUGUUUAAUUCGAAGAUACACGAAAAACCUUACCAGGUCUUGACAUACUCUGCAAAGCUAUAGAAAUAUAGUGGAGGUUAUCAGGGAUACAGGUGGUGCAUGGUUGUCGUCAGUUCGUGUCGUGAGAUGUUAGGUUAAGUCCUAAAACGAACGCAACCCCUGUCGCUAGUUGCCAGCACGUAAUGGUGGGGACUUUAGCGAGACUGCCAAUUAAACAUUGGAGGAAGGUGGGGAUAACGUCAAAUCAUCAUGCCCCUUAUGAUCUGGGCUACAAACGUGAUACAAUGGCUAUUACAAAGAGUAGCUGAAACGCGAGUUUUUAGCCAAUCUCAAAAAGGUAGUCUCAGUACGGAUUGAAGUCUGCAACUCGACUUCAUGAAGCUGGAAUCGCUAGUAAUCGCGAAUCAGCAUGUCGCGGUGAAUACGUUCUCGGGGUUUGUACACACCGCCCGUCAAACCACGAAAGUUAGCAAUACCCGAAAGCAGUGGCUUAACUUCGAAAGAAGAGGGAGCUGUCUAAGGUAGGGUUGAUGAUUGGGGUUAAGUCGUAACAAGGUAUCCUUACCGGAAGGUGAGGAUGGAUCACCUCCUU
RNAcentral lists this ribosomal RNA (740 nucleotides) under Candidatus Phytoplasma vitis. RNAcentral's name for it is "bacterial SSU rRNA". It matches the Rfam family "Bacterial small subunit ribosomal RNA", at positions 787 to 1532 of the family's 1533-position model. Lineage: Bacteria; Bacillati; Mycoplasmatota; Mollicutes; Acholeplasmatales; Acholeplasmataceae. The record is from RNAcentral.